Molecule: ribosomal RNA, 497 nt
Filed under: uncultured bacterium
Lineage: Bacteria
Description: partial 16S ribosomal RNA
Rfam family: Bacterial small subunit ribosomal RNA
Source: RNAcentral
GAUGAACGCUGGCGGCGUGCCUAAUACAUGCAAGUCGAGCGAACAGACGAGGAGCUUGCUCCUCUGACGUUAGCGGCGGACGGGUGAGUAACACGUGGAUAACCUACCUAUAAGACUGGGAUAACUUCGGGAAGCCGGAGCUAAUACCGGAUAAUAUAUUGAACCGCAUGGUUCAAUAGUGAAAGACGGUUUUGCUGUCACUUAUAGAUGGAUCCGCGCCGCAUUAGCUAGUUGGUAAGGUAACGGCUUACCAAGGCAACGAUGCGUAGCCGACCUGAGAGGGUGAUCGGCCACACUGGAACUGAGACACGGUCCAGACUCCUACGGGAGGCAGCAGUAGGGAAUCUUACGCAAUGGGCCAAAUCUUGACGGAGCAACGCCGCGUGAGUGAUGAAGGUGUUCGGAUCGUAAAACUCUGUUAUUAGGGAAGAACAAAUGUGUAAGUAACUAUGCACGUCUUGACGGUACCUAAUCAGAAAGCCACGGCUAACUACGUG